GACGAACGCUGGCGGCGUGCUUAACACAUGCAAGUCGAACGGAAAGGCCCUGCUUUUGUGGGGUGCUCGAGUGGCGAACGGGUGAGUAACACGUGAGUAACCUGCCCUUGACUUUGGGAUAACUUCAGGAAACUGGGGCUAAUACCGGAUAGGAGCUCCUGCUGCAUGGUGGGGGUUGGAAAGUUUCGGCGGUUGGGGAUGGACUCGCGGCUUAUCAGCUUGUUGGUGGGGUAGUGGCUUACCAAGGCUUUGACGGGUAGCCGGCCUGAGAGGGUGACCGGCCACGUUGGGACUGAGAUACGGCCCAGACUCCUACGGGAGGCAGCAGUGGGGAAUAUUGCACAAUGGGCGGAAGCCUGAUGCAGCAACGCCGCGUGCGGGAUGACAGCCUUCGGGUUGUAAACCGCUUUCGCCUGUGACGAAGCGUGAGUGACGGUAAUGGGUAAAGAAGCACCGGCUAACUACGUG
Molecule: ribosomal RNA, 468 nt
Filed under: uncultured bacterium
Lineage: Bacteria
Description: partial 16S ribosomal RNA
Rfam family: Bacterial small subunit ribosomal RNA
Source: RNAcentral